Molecule: ribosomal RNA, 721 nt
Filed under: Bacillus sp. FJAT-4515
Lineage: Bacteria; Bacillati; Bacillota; Bacilli; Caryophanales; Bacillaceae
Description: bacterial SSU rRNA
Rfam family: Bacterial small subunit ribosomal RNA
Source: RNAcentral
UGCAGUCGAGCGAAUCGAUGGGAGCUUGCUCCCUGAGAUUAGCGGCGGACGGGUGAGUAACACGUGGGCAACCUGCCUAUAAGACUGGGAUAACUUCGGGAAACCGGAGCUAAUACCGGAUACGUUCUUUUCUCGCAUGAGAGAAGAUGGAAAGACGGUUUACGCUGUCACUUAUAGAUGGGCCCGCGGCGCAUUAGCUAGUUGGUGAGGUAAUGGCUCACCAAGGCGACGAUGCGUAGCCGACCUGAGAGGGUGAUCGGCCACACUGGGACUGAGACACGGCCCAGACUCCUACGGGAGGCAGCAGUAGGGAAUCUUCCGCAAUGGACGAAAGUCUGACGGAGCAACGCCGCGUGAACGAAGAAGGCCUUCGGGUCGUAAAGUUCUGUUGUUAGGGAAGAACAAGUACCAGAGUAACUGCUGGUACCUUGACGGUACCUAACCAGAAAGCCACGGCUAACUACGUGCCAGCAGCCGCGGUAAUACGUAGGUGGCAAGCGUUGUCCGGAAUUAUUGGGCGUAAAGCGCGCGCAGGUGGUUCCUUAAGUCUGAUGUGAAAGCCCACGGCUCAACCGUGGAGGGUCAUUGGAAACUGGGGAACUUGAGUGCAGAAGAGGAAAGUGGAAUUCCAAGUGUAGCGGUGAAAUGCGUAGAGAUUUGGAGGAACACCAGUGGCGAAGGCGACUUUCUGGUCUGUAACUGACACUGAGGCGCGAAAGCG